Dioscorea cayenensis subsp. rotundata (Guinea yam) is the source of this 230-nucleotide long non-coding RNA. RefSeq lists it as uncharacterized. The transcript has 3 exons. The record is from RefSeq and is a predicted model, not a curated record. Lineage: Eukaryota; Viridiplantae; Streptophyta; Magnoliopsida; Dioscoreales; Dioscoreaceae.
GGCAUCUUCUGUUUGCUUUCUCUUUUUUAUACGAAGUCCUUUGCUUUUGUUUUCACCGUCGUCUCCUCCGGUUGUGCCUUGUGUUCCAUCACCAUUUUCGCAAACCUUGAUCCUGCCAAUGCCAUCAUCUCUUCUCACUUGUUCUCAUUCCAAACCCUAAACCACUGGAUUUCUGACCUUCACGAUUCCAGAAAAUUGAGAGCUUUGGUCUGAUGAGCUUGCCUACGUCU